AUGCACAGGGCGGCAGUCAGGGGUGACGCCGUGGAGAUGGAGCCGCCUGGCGCGCAGGAGAGGAGACCUGGACGCCCGGGACAAGCCGCACAGCCUACCACUGAAAUGGAACAUCGUGUUGUGAGAGAAGCAGUACAAAGAAAGAAUGUACACAAAUCGAGAGCAGAUUCUGGGAGUUCUGAUGAAUCUGCAGUCAGAGUUUCGCUCCUGUUGCCAGACUGGAGGGCAAUUGCACAAUCCCAGCUCACCACAACCUUUGCCUCCUGGGUUCAAGCGAUUCUCCUGCCUCAGCCUCCUAUCUGGGAUUACAAGCAUGCACGACCACGCACAAAUAAUUUAGUAUUUUUAGCAGAGACGGGGUUUCUCCAUGUUGGUCAGGCUGGUCUCAAACUCAUGACCUCAGAUGCUAAAACAUUUGGAGACACUGGGAGGAAUCUACGGCAGACAGAAAUGUGGUAUCAUCUGAUUUCAUCCUGA
This 477-nucleotide long non-coding RNA is filed under the name Callithrix jacchus (white-tufted-ear marmoset). RNAcentral's name for it is "lncRNA (ENSCJAG00000086476.1)". The record is from RNAcentral. Lineage: Eukaryota; Metazoa; Chordata; Mammalia; Primates; Cebidae.